ACCAAUCAGGUCUCACUUCCGCUGCACGAGUUUCGCAUGCGCGUUAAUUUCGGACGCUCUGAAUGGAAGCAGACGAGACUGGUUAACAACAACAUGUCAAAUUGACUGCAACAAUCUGUGAGAAUAGACUGUUAAUUGUCAUGAACAUAAGCUUAAAGAGUGGACCGAUAUUUCUACUAAUAACACUCUACAAAGACGAUUCGGGGAAAUUUUAUUUGUGAUGUUCAUUGAAAAUUCUACACAGGAAGAAACGAUUUUCAACGUGAUUUCCCAGCCUGCUCUGGUAUUUGAAAAAAAUUGUGAAACAAUAUACUAAGUGUCUGAAUACAAGCUGGGCUGUUAUGCAUACUAGCAGCCCAAGAACAAUAUUAUGAUCCCAUUCUGACAGGAAUGCUGCACUCGGAUGAGGCCAGCUUGUCUGACCUGUAACCUCUGAUGACCCCUGAGUUUGGUGUUCCUUCACAUAAAAGUGUCCAUCUUUCUCAUGAAUAAGAACAGCGAUAAAAGACCCAUCAACGGAGGGAUCCCAGUGGACUGGUUUGAUGACUUGCCACAAGAUAAUGCUGCAUUCCGACCCAUUACAAGUUGAUCAUGGAUAAUGAGUCCAGAAUAAAGACUUGCGGAAUGUGUCAAAA
Long non-coding RNA from Haliotis rubra (blacklip abalone), 635 nucleotides. RefSeq lists it as uncharacterized. The record is from RefSeq and is a predicted model, not a curated record. The transcript has 2 exons. Lineage: Eukaryota; Metazoa; Mollusca; Gastropoda; Lepetellida; Haliotidae.